Molecule: transfer RNA, 72 nt
Filed under: Camelus bactrianus (Bactrian camel)
Lineage: Eukaryota; Metazoa; Chordata; Mammalia; Artiodactyla; Camelidae
Also listed under: 2 other names
Rfam family: tRNA
About the family: Transfer RNA (tRNA) molecules are approximately 80 nucleotides in length. Their secondary structure includes four short double-helical elements and three loops (D, anti-codon, and T loops).
Source: Rfam by way of RNAcentral
AGGGUAAUGACUCAGUGGUAGAGUGCAUGCUUAGCGUGCACGAGGUCCUGGGUUCAAUCCCCAGCACCUCCA